UCCUCGAUGGUCUAGUGGUCAUGAUUUCCGCUUGUCAUUCCAAGAAAAACUUGUCAAGCGCGGGAGACCAGGGUUCGAUUCCCUGUCGGGGAG
RNAcentral lists this transfer RNA (93 nucleotides) under Histoplasma capsulatum. RNAcentral's name for it is "tRNA-Asp". It matches the Rfam family "tRNA". From Rfam's summary of the family: Transfer RNA (tRNA) molecules are approximately 80 nucleotides in length. Their secondary structure includes four short double-helical elements and three loops (D, anti-codon, and T loops). Further hydrogen bonds mediate the characteristic L-shaped molecular structure. tRNAs have two regions of fundamental functional importance: the anti-codon, which is responsible for specific mRNA codon recognition, and the 3' end, to which the tRNAs corresponding amino acid is attached (by aminoacyl-tRNA synthetases). tRNAs cope with the degeneracy of the genetic code in two manners: having more than one tRNA (with a specific anti-codon) for a particular amino acid; and 'wobble' base-pairing, i.e. permitting non-standard base-pairing at the 3rd anti-codon position. The record is from RNAcentral. Lineage: Eukaryota; Fungi; Ascomycota; Eurotiomycetes; Onygenales; Ajellomycetaceae.